UGAUUGAAAAAGCAGGGUAAUGUGCAUAGAAAUUGAUUUGGGUCUCUAGGCCUGCCUUCUCUCAUGCACUUCAGCUUUGAUUUGGGAGCAUAGUUCUACAACAAAACG
Molecule: small nucleolar RNA, 108 nt
Organism: Rhododendron vialii
Lineage: Eukaryota; Viridiplantae; Streptophyta; Magnoliopsida; Ericales; Ericaceae
Product: small nucleolar RNA snoR100
Exons: 1
Source: RefSeq, a predicted model, not a curated record